RNAcentral lists this ribosomal RNA (841 nucleotides) under Ophiocordyceps daceti. Its description in RNAcentral is "eukaryotic LSU rRNA". It matches the Rfam family "Eukaryotic large subunit ribosomal RNA", at positions 76 to 938 of the family's 3401-position model. The record is from RNAcentral. Lineage: Eukaryota; Fungi; Ascomycota; Sordariomycetes; Hypocreales; Ophiocordycipitaceae.
UGCCCCAGUAACGGCGAGUGAAGCGGCAACAGCUCAAAUUUGAAAUCUGGCGCCCCCCGCGGGCGCCCGAGUUGUAAUUUGCAGAGGAUGCCCUUGGCGCGGCGCCUUCCGAGUUCCCUGGAACGGGACGCCACAGAGGGUGAGAGCCCCGUACGGUCGGACGCCAAGCCUCUGUAGGGCUCCUUCGACGAGUCGAGUAGUUUGGGAAUGCUGCUCAAAACGGGAGGUAUAUGUCUUCUAAAGCUAAAUACCGGCCAGAGACCGAUAGCGCACAAGUAGAGUGAUCGAAAGAUGAAAAGCACCUUGAAAAGGGGGUUAAAAAGUACGUGAAAUUGUUGAAAGGGAAGCGCUCGUGGCCAGACUCGGCCCCGGCGAAUCACCCGGCGUUCUCGCCGGUGCACUUCGCCGGGCGCCGGGCCAGCAUCGGCCCGCGGCGGGGGACAAAGGCGCCGGGAACGUGGCUCCCCCGGGAGUGUUAUAGCCCGGCGCGCAAUGCCCCGCGGCGGGCCGAGGUCCGCGCGUAAGCAAGGAUGCUGGCGUAAUGGCCACCAGCGACCCGUCUUGAAACACGGACCAAGGAGUCGUCCUCGUGUGCGAGUGUUCGGGUGUCAAGCCCCUACGCGGAGUGAAAGCGAACGCAGGUGGGAGCCCUCGGGCGCACCAUCGACCGAUCCUGAAGUUCUCGGAUGGAUUUGAGUAAGAGCACACGGGGCCGGACCCGAAAGAAGGUGAACUAUGCCUGUGUAGGGUGAAGCCAGAGGAAACUCUGGUGGAGGCUCGCAGCGGUUCUGACGUGCAAAUCGAUCGUCAAACAUGGGCAUGGGGGCGAAAGACUAAUCGA